AUGGCGGGAGGCCCCUGCUUGCAGCCACGGGUGCCUCCCCACGGCUGGCUUGUCCUUGUUGGCGACCUUGGGCUGGGGCAGGUGAGGCUUGCCUUAAAAACUCUCUUGCACUUUUUAAACUUCCUGCUUAAAGACGCGAGCGGCGACCACGAACGGCAUUCGGGGCAACGCACGCAGGUUGUGAGGACAGAAACGCGCUGGUCGGAAGGACCCACGCCUGUCAGGACAGCGGUUACUCUGGCGGUCGGGCCGCCAGACUCAAGGUCAUGGGCGGGAGGGCGAGUAUUUGGUCGUCUGAAUCUGUUCCUGCUCUUUUUAAUUUAUACGUUGCUUCCCUUUCAGAUCCGUUUCCCGCCACUAAGGAGCGCUUCCAGCGCCUACGCUUACUCGGUUUACUCGCCUUCUUGCAAGAGGUGUAUCGUUUCUGAAUCUCGAUUCUUCCCUUUUCAUCCGCGUGCUUCGUUCGCACGGUGUGACGGUCACCCUCUCAUUUCCUCACUGAGCACCCUCUCCCACAUGCACCUGCAUUCAGUUUCUCCCCCUGCCUGGCCCUGCUGUGGCACCCACACGCGGCUCCCCUGCUCCCCACACCCGCAGGGGGCCCUCGCCCCUCCCCCAUGUGCCCGCCACGGAGGGUCGGGGGGGGGGGGCGCUCCGGGGGACACGCAGACCCCGGGGGCCGUCCACGCGCCCGUCAACCUUGGCCAUUGGCCAGCUUCCUGCGUUUGCCGCUUCCCUCUGCCUUUCUCCGCAGGCUCACUUCGAGCACCUGCUCCGGGGUGGUGGGGUGGGGGGGGGAGGGAACUUGCGGCUCCCUCACAGCUGCCCACGCACAGCUCGGCCAUUUCCCACCGCGAGUGCGGGCUCCUGUUUCUCGGCAGGGGUGCACCUGUGGAGUCCACGUCAAUGGUCUCAAACCGGGGCCUCGGGACCCUUUCACACAGUCAAAAAUUAUCGAGGGUCCCGGGGAAGUUUUGUUUACGUAGGUUACCUCUAUCGAUGUUUACUAUAGCAGAAAAUACAACUACGAAAAUGGAAAGGCACGCGCUUAUCCUUCCUUCAACAACAGCACCGAUAGACCAGGCGCCGAACCACCCACAGCACACAGCUCGUCAGCGGCACGAGGCAGGAAACACUGGGAAGAUGUUGUUUUGGGGGCUUCCUGAGGCUGUGGCCCCGGGGCCCGGAGGUAGCCGCGGCUCAAGCAGGUGCGUGGAUCCCCCGGUCACUUCCAACCCUCUACGCGCCCGCCAGUCUUGA
Molecule: long non-coding RNA, 1260 nt
Filed under: Felis catus (domestic cat)
Lineage: Eukaryota; Metazoa; Chordata; Mammalia; Carnivora; Felidae
Description: lncRNA (ENSFCAG00000048708.1)
Source: RNAcentral